Molecule: long non-coding RNA, 523 nt
Filed under: Daphnia magna
Lineage: Eukaryota; Metazoa; Arthropoda; Branchiopoda; Diplostraca; Daphniidae
Description: uncharacterized LOC123473697, transcript variant X2
Source: RNAcentral
AAGGUGGGAAUGGCGUCUUUGCUUCGUGCGUGAGCAGUAUGUGAGUAUUUGUGCAUCUUAUUUGUGGCCGAAAGCUAAACCCAGUCAUUCAGAUUGUUGGGAAUUCCAACAUUCUUUGUUUCCAGUAUGAUUCUCCCAAAUCCAUGGGCUAAUUCAGUUAUGAUGGCUAAAACCGAGCAACAUGCUUAUCAAAUGCAAUUGGCUGAUGCAGUCCAAAUGCAGGCUCAAGCUUGAGCAGCAGCACAAUUGCAAGCUACCCAGAUUCAUGCAGUCCAAGCAGGUCAUACACAAGUCGAUGCUCAAGUUCAGACCACGCAUGAAGACAACUCAUUAAUAACUAGUUCAAAACAAGAACAAAUAACGGGAAAAGAUGCAAGGCAAAUCACAGAAAUGGCAGCGAUUUUAGCCAAAAGAAAAUUUUGCUUCGUUCCCUUACAGAAAGAAGAUAUGCCUCCUUAAUAUGUCCUUAAUGUCAACAUAAAUACUUGACAAAUGGGCUCUAAAUCUCACCCGAAGAGGCUGU